RNAcentral lists this ribosomal RNA (275 nucleotides) under uncultured bacterium. Its description in RNAcentral is "partial 16S ribosomal RNA". It matches the Rfam family "Bacterial small subunit ribosomal RNA", at positions 338 to 605 of the family's 1533-position model. The record is from RNAcentral.
CCUACGGGUGGCUGCAGUGGGGAAUUUUGGACAAUGGGGGCAACCCUGAUCCAGCCAUUCCGCGUGAGUGAAGAAGGCCUUCGGGUUGUAAAGCUCUUUUGUCCGGGAAGAAACGGUUUCACCUAAUACGUGAGACUACUGACGGUACCGGAAGAAUAAGGACCGGCUAACUACGUGCCAGCAGCCGCGGUAAUACGUAGGGUCCAAGCGUUAAUCGGAAUUACUGGGCGUAAAGCGUGCGCAGGCGGUUGUGUAAGCCAGAUGUGAAAUCCCCG